This 1667-nucleotide ribosomal RNA is filed under the name Escherichia coli. RNAcentral describes it as "partial 23S ribosomal RNA". It matches the Rfam family "Bacterial large subunit ribosomal RNA", at positions 1292 to 2925 of the family's 2925-position model. The record is from RNAcentral. Lineage: Bacteria; Pseudomonadati; Pseudomonadota; Gammaproteobacteria; Enterobacterales; Enterobacteriaceae.
GAAUGCUGACAUAAGUAACGAUAAAGCGGGUGAAAAGCCCGCUCGCCGGAAGACCAAGGGUUCCUGUCCAACGUUAAUCGGGGCAGGGUGAGUCGACCCCUAAGGCGAGGCCGAAAGGCGUAGUCGAUGGGAAACAGGUUAAUAUUCCUGUACUUGGUGUUACUGCGAAGGGGGGACGGAGAAGGCUAUGUUGGCCGGGCGACGGUUGUCCCGGUUUAAGCGUGUAGGCUGGUUUUCCAGGCAAAUCCGGAAAAUCAAGGCUGAGGCGUGAUGACGAGGCACUACGGUGCUGAAGCGACAAAUGCCCUGCUUCCAGGAAAAGCCUCUAAGCAUCAGGUAACAUCAAAUCGUACCCCAAACCGACACAGGUGGUCAGGUAGAGAAUACCAAGGCGCUUGAGAGAACUCGGGUGAAGGAACUAGGCAAAAUGGUGCCGUAACUUCGGGAGAAGGCACGCUGAUAUGUAGGUGAAGCGACUUGCUCGUGGAGCUGAAAUCAGUCGAAGAUACCAGCUGGCUGCAACUGUUUAUUAAAAACACAGCACUGUGCAAACACGAAAGUGGACGUAUACGGUGUGACGCCUGCCCGGUGCCGGAAGGUUAAUUGAUGGGGUUAGCGGUAACGCGAAGCUCUUGAUCGAAGCCCCGGUAAACGGCGGCCGUAACUAUAACGGUCCUAAGGUAGCGAAAUUCCUUGUCGGGUAAGUUCCGACCUGCACGAAUGGCGUAAUGAUGGCCAGGCUGUCUCCACCCGAGACUCAGUGAAAUUGAACUCGCUGUGAAGAUGCAGUGUACCCGCGGCAAGACGGAAAGACCCCGUGAACCUUUACUAUAGCUUGACACUGAACAUUGAGCCUUGAUGUGUAGGAUAGGUGGGAGGCUUUGAAGUGUGGACGCCAGUCUGCAUGGAGCCGACCUUGAAAUACCACCCUUUAAUGUUUGAUGUUCUAACGUGGGCCCCUUACCGGGGUUGCGGACAGUGUCUGGUGGGUAGUUUGACUGGGGCGGUCUCCUCCUAAAGAGUAACGGAGGAGCACGAAGGUUGGCUAAUCCUGGUCGGACAUCAGGAGGUUAGUGCAAUGGCAUAAGCCAGCUUGACUGCGAGCGUGACGGCGCGAGCAGGUGCGAAAGCAGGUCAUAGUGAUCCGGUGGUUCUGAAUGGAAGGGCCAUCGCUCAACGGAUAAAAGGUACUCCGGGGAUAACAGGCUGAUACCGCCCAAGAGUUCAUAUCGACGGCGGUGUUUGGCACCUCGAUGUCGGCUCAUCACAUCCUGGGGCUGAAGUAGGUCCCAAGGGUAUGGCUGUUCGCCAUUUAAAGUGGUACGCGAGCUGGGUUUAGAACGUCGUGAGACAGUUCGGUCUCUAUCUGCCGUGGGCGCUGGAGAACUGAGGGGGGCUGCUCCUAGUACGAGAGGACCGGAGUGGACGCAUCACUGGUGUUCGGGUUGUCAUGCCAAUGGCACUGCCCGGUAGCUAAAUGCGGAAGAGAUAAGUGCUGAAAGCAUCUAAGCACGAAACUUGCCCCGAGAUGAGUUCUCCCUGACUCCUUGAGAGUCCUGAAGGAACGUUGAAGACGACGACGUUGAUAGGCCGGGUGUGUAAGCGCAGCGAUGCGUUGAGCUAACCGGUACUAAUGAACCGUGAGGCUUAACCUUACAACGCCGAAG